GGAACCUUCCACAAUGGACGCAAGUCUGAUGGAGCAACGCCGCGUGAGUGAAGAAGGGUUUCGGCUCGUAAAGCUCUGUUGUUAAAGAAGAACACGUAUGAGAGUAACUGUUCAUACGUUGACGGUAUUUAACCAGAAAGUCACGGCUAACUACGUGCCAG
RNAcentral lists this ribosomal RNA (161 nucleotides) under uncultured bacterium. Its description in RNAcentral is "partial 16S ribosomal RNA". It matches the Rfam family "Bacterial small subunit ribosomal RNA", at positions 358 to 511 of the family's 1533-position model. The record is from RNAcentral.